Molecule: ribosomal RNA, 273 nt
Filed under: uncultured bacterium
Lineage: Bacteria
Description: partial 16S ribosomal RNA
Rfam family: Bacterial small subunit ribosomal RNA
Source: RNAcentral
UACGGAGGGGGCGAGCGUUAUUCGGAAUUAUUGGGCGUAAAGGGCGCGUAGGCGGCUUGGCAAGUCAAAGGUGAAAUCCCUCGGCUCAACUGAGGAACUGCCUUUGAAACUGCUUGGCUUGAGUCCGGGAGGGGGUAGCGGAAUUCCCAGUGUAGCGGUGAAAUGCGUAGAUAUUGGGAGGAACACCAGUGGCGAAGGCGGCUACCUGGACCGGAACUGACGCUGAUGCGCGAAAGCGUGGGUAGCAAACAGGAUUAGAAACCCCCGUAGUCC